This 253-nucleotide ribosomal RNA is filed under the name uncultured bacterium. RNAcentral's name for it is "partial 16S ribosomal RNA". It matches the Rfam family "Bacterial small subunit ribosomal RNA", at positions 524 to 776 of the family's 1533-position model. The record is from RNAcentral.
UACGUAGGGUGCAAGCGUUGUCCGGAAUUAUUGGGCGUAAAGAGCUCGUAGGCGGUUUGUCGCGUCUGCUGUGAAAACUCGGGGCUUAACUCCGGGCCUGCAGUGGGUACGGGCAGACUAGAGUGCGGUAGGGGAGACUGGAAUUCCUGGUGUAGCGGUGAAAUGCGCAGAUAUCAGGAGGAACACCGGUGGCGAAGGCGGUUCUCUGGGCCUGACCUGACGCUGAGGAGCGAAAGCGUGGGGAGCGAACAGG